UCCGAAGGGGGCUAUCGUUGUUCGGAAUUACUGGGCGUAAAGGGCGCGUAGGCGGUCUUGUAAGUCAGAUGUGAAAGCCCCGGGCUCAACCCGGGAAUAGCAUUUGAUACUGUGAGGCUUGAGUCCGGGAGAGGAUGGCGGAAUUCCCAGUGUAGAGGUGAAAUUCGUAGAUAUUGGGAAGAACACCGGUGGCGAAGGCGGCCAUCUGGACCGGUACUGACGCUGAGGCGCGAAAGCGUGGGGAGAAAACAGG
RNAcentral lists this ribosomal RNA (253 nucleotides) under uncultured bacterium. RNAcentral describes it as "partial 16S ribosomal RNA". It matches the Rfam family "Bacterial small subunit ribosomal RNA", at positions 524 to 776 of the family's 1533-position model. The record is from RNAcentral.